CAGAGUAAGUGCCUGGUAUUCAGCGGUGUUCCCGGCUCUUACUAAACUUUGAGAUUCCAAGAAUUCCAAGAGUAUGCCUCUUUAAUCCCUAUCAGGAUUAGCAGAGAGACAACCGAAAAAAGCCUUCCACCCCCACACUCCAUGUGCAUCCGCAUGUAAUCAGCGACCUGAGGCUGGGAGUUAAAGAAGGCACCAUGUUGGUCUCAGUCUUUCGCCAAGAACAGUCGGAGGGGUCCUUCCUCCUCGCUCCAAGGCAGACAGUGCUGGGACACUGACCUCAGUAGCAAUGAUCCAAUCUUUCGUUGAGAUAAUCCUCUACCCACCACCAAACAAGAGUGAACUUUCCCCUAACUGGACUUUCAG
Long non-coding RNA from Phyllopteryx taeniolatus (common seadragon), 363 nucleotides. RefSeq lists it as uncharacterized. NCBI's taxonomy places the organism in Eukaryota, Metazoa, Chordata, Actinopteri, Syngnathiformes, Syngnathidae. The transcript is spliced from 3 exons. The record is from RefSeq and is a predicted model, not a curated record.